AGAGUUUGAUCCUGGCUCAGGACGAACGCUGGCGGCGUGCUUAACACAUGCAAGUCGAACGGAUUUAGUGUAGCAAUAUGCUAAGUUAGUGGCGAACGGGUGAGUAACACGUGACUAAUCUGCCCCGGACUGGGGAAUAACGGAGGGAAACUUCCGCUAAUACCGCAUGUAGAGACGAGUUCGCAUGGAUUUGUCUUGAAAGAUUUAUCGGUCCGGGAUGAGGUCGCGCCCCAUUAGCUUGUUGGCGAGGUAACGGCUCACCAAGGCGACGAUGGGUAGCUGGUCUGAGAGGAUGAUCAGCCACACUGGGACUGAGAUACGGCCCAGACUCCUAUGGGAGGCAGCAGUGAGGAAUAUUGCGCAAUGGGCGAAAGCCUGACGCAGCAACGCCGCGUGAAGGAUGAAGGUGCUUUGCAUUGUAAACUUCUGUAGGGAGGGACGAAUCGCCGGCUCUGCCGGUAUUGACGGUACCUCCAAAGUAAGCACCGGCUAACUCCGUGCCAGCAGCCGCGGUAAUACGGAGGGUGCAAGCGUUGUCCGGAUUUACUGGGUGUAAAGGGCGUGUAGGCGGGAGAAUGUGUCGGAAGUGAAAUCGCGCGGCUUAACCGUGUCAAUUGCUUCCGAAACUGUUCUUCUUGAAUGCGAGAGAGGCAGAUGGAAUUCCAGGUGUAGCGGUGGAAUGCGUAGAUAUCUGGAAGAACACCAGUGGCGAAGGCGGUCUGCUGGCUCGUGAUUGACGCUGAGGCGCG
RNAcentral lists this ribosomal RNA (749 nucleotides) under uncultured bacterium. RNAcentral's name for it is "bacterial SSU rRNA". It matches the Rfam family "Bacterial small subunit ribosomal RNA", at positions 8 to 755 of the family's 1533-position model. The record is from RNAcentral.